RNAcentral lists this ribosomal RNA (948 nucleotides) under Triticum aestivum (bread wheat). RNAcentral's name for it is "partial small subunit ribosomal RNA". Lineage: Eukaryota; Viridiplantae; Streptophyta; Magnoliopsida; Poales; Poaceae. The record is from RNAcentral.
AUGCAGGCGGCGGCCUCUUACCGGGGCGCGGCAGGCCACCGCCGCGCCGGCCACCCCUCCCGGCGCCCUCCCGGUCCCUCUCUUCUUCUACCCGUCAGCGUCGCCGGCGUCGGCCGUUUCUCCGACGCGGCGGUUCCGCUCCGAGUCGGCUCCCUGCCCCUUCCUCGGGCUCGCGGCGGCGGCGAUUUCGCGCGCCUGGAUGCCAGGGACGGGGAGGCGUGGCAGCUGACGCGCGCGCUCGGGCUAAUCCUUCCUGGUCACCAGAAAAUGGUGCAUGCUAACCUGCUGAAAACUGCUGUUCUUUCAACAAUGUCGAUGCUCAUAAUGCCUCUUGAGGCAUCAGCGGAGACAUGUCAACCAACUAGUUCUUUUGCCAAUAUGCCGAUUUUCAUUGCUGUCGCUCUAAUAGGAGCUGCUGUGGGUGGAUUAUUAGCACGGCAAAGAAAGGACGAACUGAAGCGAUUGAAUAAUCAACUUCGUCAGAUUAAUACUGCCCUUAGAAGGCAGGCACAGAUUGAAUCGUUUGCCCCCGGCCUUACUUAUGCGCCUGUAGGGAGAGCAGGAGAAAUUGAGGUCAUUGUUGAUCCCAGGAAGCAGCAGUUGGUGGUAAAUUUGAAAAAUGGGAAGAAUUAUAUGAGGAAUCAGGACCUUGAUAAGGCAGUAAUGGAGUUCAAGACAGCUCUGGAGCUUGCAGAAAGCAUAGGGGAUCGCUUUGAGGAGAAGAAAGCUGCGCGAGGAUUAGGCGCAUCACUACAAAGGUUGGGACAGUACAGAGAAGCAAUGAGCUGGUACUACAAGGUUCUGGCGCUAUCAAAGGAGACCGGCGAGGAUUCUGGCUGCACCGAGGCCUACGGCGCGAUAGCCGACUGCUGCGCCGAUCUCGGCGACUUGGAAGGAGCAGCGAAGCUGUAUGACGAGUACAUAUCAAGGCUGCAGCCCCGUGAUUGA